Long non-coding RNA from Coregonus clupeaformis (lake whitefish), 292 nucleotides. RefSeq lists it as uncharacterized. The record is from RefSeq and is a predicted model, not a curated record. Lineage: Eukaryota; Metazoa; Chordata; Actinopteri; Salmoniformes; Salmonidae. The transcript is spliced from 3 exons.
AUCAAAGGUGAAGAGCGCUGUACCUGCCGAGCCCAGAUUACCCUCGGUGAGAGGAGAGAACCGGAAGAAAAAGAUCACUGAUUUUGAGCUGACUCAGCUGCAGGAUAAACUGAGGGAGACAGAGAUGGUGAUGGAGAGGAUUGUGUCUAAAGCCAGCUACAGCUCUAAAAGGGUGACAGGGGUGAGUGCCGACCAAGAGGAGAGACUGCUUCUCCAGCUGAGAGAGAUCACACGGGUGAUGCAGGAGGGCCGCCUGGUGGAGGGGGUCGCCCCACCAGAGAUGGGGGCCCAA